UGACGCUGGCGGAUGCUUUACACACUGCCAGUCGAACGGCAGCACGGACUUCGGUCUGGUGGCGAGUGGCGAACGGGUGAGUAAUACAUCGGAACGUGCCCAGUCGUGGGGGAUAACGUAGCGAAAGCUACGCUAAUACCGCAUACGAUCUACGGAUGAAAGCGGGGGAUCGCAAGACCUCGCGCGAUUGGAGCGGCCGAUGCGCAGAUUAAGUAGUUGGUGGGGUAAAGGCUCACCAAGCCGACGAUCUGUAGCUGGUCUGAGAGUGACGACCAGCCACACUGGGACUGAGACACGCGCCCAGACUCCUACGGGAGGCAGCAGUGGGGAAUUUUUGGACAAUGGGCGCAAGCCUGAUCCAGCCAUUCCGCGUGCAGGAUGAAGGCCCUCGGGUUGUAAACUGCUUUUGUACAGAACGAAAAGGCUCUGGUUAAUACCUGGGGCUCAUGACGGUACUGUAAGAAUAAGCACCGGCUAACUACGUGCCAGCAGCCGCGGUAAUACGUAGGUGCAAGCGUUAAUCGGAAUUACUGGGCGUAAAGCGUGCGCAGGCGGUGAUGUAACGACAGAGGUGAAAUCCCCGGGCUCAACCUGGGAACUGGCUUUGUGACUGCAUCGCUGAGUACGGCAGAGGGGGAUGGAAAUUCCCGGCGUGUUAGCCACUUGAAAAUGGCGUUAGAAUAUUUGCGGGACAGGAACACCCGAUUUGCGAAAAGGCCAAUCCCCCCUGUGGCCUGGUAACUGAACGCCUCAUGGCACCGAAAAGCCGUUGGCGGAAGCACAAACCGGAUUAGAUAACCUUGGUUAGUCACACGCCCCUAUACAGAUGUCACGGGUUGUUGGGGGCCUCACAUCGAACCAGACAGAAAUAAGCCCUGUAAA
Molecule: ribosomal RNA, 882 nt
Filed under: uncultured Acidovorax sp.
Lineage: Bacteria; Pseudomonadati; Pseudomonadota; Betaproteobacteria; Burkholderiales; Comamonadaceae
Description: bacterial SSU rRNA
Rfam family: Bacterial small subunit ribosomal RNA
Source: RNAcentral